GGCUGGAUAGUCUAGUGGUUAAGAUCCCCCCGGAGCUGGGAAGGUCUAGGUUCAAUUUCUAGUCCUGCCA
This is a non-coding RNA of Rhizopogon vinicolor AM-OR11-026, 70 nucleotides long. The record is from the annotation of a GenBank genome assembly. NCBI's taxonomy places the organism in Eukaryota, Fungi, Basidiomycota, Agaricomycetes, Boletales, Rhizopogonaceae.